Molecule: ribosomal RNA, 463 nt
Filed under: Streptococcus australis
Lineage: Bacteria; Bacillati; Bacillota; Bacilli; Lactobacillales; Streptococcaceae
Description: bacterial SSU rRNA
Rfam family: Bacterial small subunit ribosomal RNA
Source: RNAcentral
GAUGAACGCUGGCGGCGUGCCUAAUACAUGCAAGUAGAACGCUGAAGGAGGAGCUUGCUCUUCUGGAUGAGUUGCGAACGGGUGAGUAACGCGUAGGUAACCUGCCUGGUAGCGGGGGAUAACUAUUGGAAACGAUAGCUAAUACCGCAUAACAGUAGAUAUUGCAUGAUAUCUGCUUGAAAGGUGCAAUUGCAUCACUACCAGAUGGACCUGCGUUGUAUUAGCUAGUUGGUGAGGUAACGGCUCACCAAGGCGACGAUACAUAGCCGACCUGAGAGGGUGAUCGGCCACACUGGGACUGAGACACGGCCCAGACUCCUACGGGAGGCAGCAGUAGGGAAUCUUCGGCAAUGGACGGAAGUCUGACCGAGCAACGCCGCGUGAGUGAAGAAGGUUUUCGGAUCGUAAAGCUCUGUUGUAAGAGAAGAACGAGUGUGAGAGUGGAAAGUUCACACUGUGACGG